UACGAAGGGGGCUAGCGUUGUUCGGAAUCACUGGGCGUAAAGCGCACGUAGGCGGACUUGUUAGUCAGGGGUGAAAUCCCGGGGCUCAACCCCGGAACUGCCUUUGAUACUGCAAGUCUUGAGUCCGAGAGAGGUGAGUGGAAUUCCUAGUGUAGAGGUGAAAUUCGUAGAUAUUAGGAAGAACACCAGUGGCGAAGGCGGCUCACUGGCUCGGUACUGACGCUGAGGUGCGAAAGCGUGGGGAGCAAACAGG
This 253-nucleotide ribosomal RNA is filed under the name uncultured bacterium. Its description in RNAcentral is "partial 16S ribosomal RNA". It matches the Rfam family "Bacterial small subunit ribosomal RNA", at positions 524 to 776 of the family's 1533-position model. The record is from RNAcentral.